Molecule: long non-coding RNA, 3030 nt
Organism: Cercocebus atys (sooty mangabey)
Lineage: Eukaryota; Metazoa; Chordata; Mammalia; Primates; Cercopithecidae
Exons: 3
Source: RefSeq, a predicted model, not a curated record
GAAGACUUAGGCUUGGUUUACAGAUGGUUGUGCACAACAUGCAGGCACCACCUGAAGGUAGACAGCUGCAGCACUACUGCCCUUUCUGGGACAUCUCUGAAGGAUGGUGGUGAAAGCAAUUCCUUCCAGUGGGCAGAACUUUGAGUAAUGCACCUUGUUGUUCACUUUGCUUGGAAAGAAAAAUGGGUUGACAUUUGUUUAUCUUCAUUUAUGAGCUGUGAGCAGUAGUAUGCCUGGAUGGUCAGGGAUGUAGAAAGAGCUCCACUGGAAAAUUGGUGACAAAGAAAUUUGGGGAAGAGAUAUGUAGGUAGACCUCUCUGAAUGGGAAAAAAAAGUCAACAUAAUUGUGUCCCAUGUGAAUGAUUGCCAAAAGGUGACCUCAGUAGAAGAGGAUUUUAAUAGUCAAGUGGACAGAAUGACCGAUUCUGUGGAUACUAGUUAGCCUCUUUCCCCAGCCAUCCCUGUCAUCGCCCAAUGGGUUCAUGAACAAAGCAGCCAUUAUGGCAGGGAUGAAGAUUAUGCCUUGGCCCAGCAACAUGGACUUCCCACUCACCAGUGCUGACCUAUGGCCACUGCCAAGUGCCCGAUCUGCCAGCCUCAGAGAACAGUGCUGAGCCCCUAAUAUGGCAACAUUCCCCAGAUGAUCAACCAGCUACCUGUUUGCAGUUGAUUACAUUGGACCACUUCUAUCAGGGAAGGGACAGCAUCUUGUCCUUAGUGGAACAGACACUUACUCUGGAUAUGAAUUUGCUUUCCUUGCCUGCAGUGCUUCUGCCAAAACCACCAUUCAUGAACUCACAGAAUGCCUUAUCCACCCUCAUGGUAUUCUACACAGCAUUACUUUUGACCAAAGAACUCCACAGCAAAUGAAGUGUGGCAGUGGGCUUAUGCUCAUGGAAUUCACUGGUCUUACCGUGUUCCCCCAUCAUCCUGAAGCAGCUGGCUUGAUAGAACAGUGAAAUGGACUUUUGAAGACUCCGUCUAGUGCCAGCUAAGUGUCACUACCUUGCAGGGUUAGGACAAGGUUCUCUGUAAGACUGUAUAUGCUCUGAAUCAGCAUUUAAUCUAUGAUGCUAUUUCUCCUAUAGCCAGAAACUCACAGGCCCAGGAAUCAAGGGGUUGAAAUGGGGUUCUACCACUCACUAUUACUCCUGGUUACCCGCUAGUAAAUUUUGCUUUUUGUUCCCAUGACUUCAUACUCUGCUGGCCCACAGGUCUUUGUUCUAGAUGGAAGAAUACUUCCACAGGGAGACAUAGCAAUGCUUCCACUGAACUGGAAGUCAAGACUGCCAUGAAACCACUUUGGACUCCUCAUUCCUCUGAAUCAACAGACAAAGAAAGGAGUUACUGUGCUGAUUAGGGUGACUGACCCUGACUACCAAGGGGAAAUUGGACUACUACUCCACAACAGAGGGCUUGUUACAGGGUCAACUUCUCGGUGCAUGGCUCCUUCCAGUCUGAUAAGAACCAUCCCUCAGCCUUCAGACGAACAGGAAGAAGAGAACAUUCCUAUUACUGAAGACAGACAGUGAAUGUCAAGAAGAAUCUGUACAAACAAACCUACUAAAACAACCUUUAUCUUCCACUAGUUUCUCCAAUAUUUCCUAGUCACUUUCCCACAAUUUGCUGCCUCGGUCCAAACUCCUUUUGCUUUUUUCUUGUCACAUCUCCACAGUUGAUCAUUCUUUGUUGAAAUGGUAUAUACCGUCUCGGGCCUCUUCAUUUCUUUUUUCUAUGAAGGCUCCUAUGCCAUGCAAAAAUAUUAACAUCAAAUAAAAUGUAUAUGCUUUUCUCCUGUUAAUCUGUCUUUUGUCAGUUUAAUUCUCAGGCCCAGCUGCAGAACCUAAGAAGGCAGAGGAAAAAUCUGUCCUCCCUUACACCACCUUUGCUCUUCCCUGGGAGAUUGGUCUACAUGGACCACGUCAACAAGACUCCUGGGCCAUCUGGUUUCUUGUUGGCUUCAACUGACAGGCAGCACUUUAGGAGACUCAGGGAGAAAGGAGAGGCAGCUCUGGAGUAUUUCUUUCUCUCCCUGGAAGGAUGACUCCAUCAAGUAUCACUGCUCAUCCCAAAGUCACCUACUGUCUCCCUUACCUUCUCUCUUAUGACCUACAGAUAAUGAGAGCUCCACUGCUGCUGCUAAUCCAGAGUUUCUAUACCAGUUCCUGUAGUUUCACUUAACUACACCCACAACUUUAUAAUUAGUUCCUUGUAAAUAAACUUUCCUCAUAUUUAGCUUGAUCAGAGGGUGUCAUCUGUUUUCUGUUGGGACCCUGGAGGAUGUAGGCAUGAAAACCACUUUUGAGAUGUGUGUAUAUUGGAGGUAGUGAAGGAGCAGUUAGUUAAAAGGAAAGAAGGGGCAGGAGAAUGGGGAAAGUGUCCCAGAGGAAAACAGAGUUAAGUCUUAAAAGAUGUCUUGAAAAGACACAAUGUCUUGAAAGAAAUAAUGAGAAGGAAGAAAUAAUUUCAGAGAGAAACAUGUGGAGGCUCAGAGACUUGAAAGUGUCCUAGGGAAGUUGCAAAUGAUCAAGGUGACUGCAGGGAAGGACUGGUAGGUGGGAGGAUGGUAAGUGAUGAGGCUGGAGGGGAGGUGAGGGAGAGAUCAUGAAGGACUCUGUAUGUUCUGUGAAUGAGUUUGGGCUCUAUCCUGAAGACAAUGGGAAAUUACUGAAAGAUUUUUAAGCAGAAAAGUAACAUAACCUGAUUGGAAUUUCAAAAUAUUCCUCUGGUAUGUAGUGUGGGAGAAAGCAGGACUGGAAGCAGGGAGAUAGUUUGGCAUGUUCCUUCAAUGAUCAACGCAAGAAUCAGUCACAAUAUGAAAUUUGGUAGUGGCGGUGGGGCAGCAGGAAGUAUGUGUGAGAACUAUUGAGGAAUUUGGUGAGGAAUUGGGUCCGGUAGUAAGUCUGAAAUGAUGCCCAGAUGUUUGAGUUGGGCCAGUUAAUAGAUGUUGGAAUCAUUCAUAAACAGAUGGGAUCCUAAAGGGGGAACUGUAUUAGUCUGUUCUCACAUUGCUAUAAAGAAAUACCUGAA